This 377-nucleotide unclassified non-coding RNA is filed under the name plant metagenome. RNAcentral describes it as "partial contains 5.8S ribosomal RNA, internal transcribed spacer 2, and large subunit ribosomal RNA". The stretch from base 1 to 104 matches the Rfam family "5.8S ribosomal RNA", at positions 51 to 154 of the family's 154-position model. The record is from RNAcentral.
AAAUGCGAUAAGUAAUGUGAAUUGCAGAAUUCAGUGAAUCAUCGAAUCUUUGAACGCACCUUGCGCUCCUUGGUAUUCCUUGGAGCAUGCCUGUUUGAGUAUCAUGAAAUCUUCAAAGUAAAUCUUUUGUUAACUCAAUUGGUUUCUACUUUGGUAUUGGAGGUCUUUGCAGCUUCACACCUGCUCCUCUUUGUUCAUUAGCUGGAUCUCAGUGUUAUGCUCGGUUCCACUCGGCGUGAUAAGUUAUCUAUCGCUGAGGACACUGUAAAAGGUGGCCAAGGUAAAUGCAGAUGAACCGCUUCUAAUAGUCCAUUGACUUGGACAAUACUUUUAUGAUCUGAUCUCAAAUCAGGUAGGACUACCCGCUGAACUUAAGC